Molecule: ribosomal RNA, 442 nt
Filed under: uncultured bacterium
Lineage: Bacteria
Description: partial 16S ribosomal RNA
Rfam family: Bacterial small subunit ribosomal RNA
Source: RNAcentral
CCUACGGGUGGCAGCAGUGGGGAAUAUUGGGCAAUGGGCGCAAGCCUGACCCAGCAACGCAGCGUGAAGGAAGAAGGCUUUCGGGUUGUAAACUUCUUUUAAGGGGGAAGAGCAGAAGACGGUACCUCUUGAAUAAGCCACGGCUAACUACGUGCCAGCAGCCGCGGUAAUACGUAGGUGGCAAGCGUUGUCCGGAUUUACAGAGUGUAAAGGGCGUGCAGCCGGAGAGACAAGUCAGAUGUGAAAGUCACGGGCUCAACCCGUGAACUGCAUUUGAAACUGUUUCCCUUGAGUGUCGGAGAGGUAAUCGGAAUUCCUGGUGUAGCGGUGAAAUGCGUAGAUAUAAGGAAGAACACCAGUGGCGAAGGCAGAUUACUGGACGAUAACUGACGGUGAGGCGCGAAAGCGUGGGGAGCAAACAGGAUUAGAUACCCCGGUAGUC